Molecule: long non-coding RNA, 718 nt
Organism: Chenopodium quinoa (quinoa)
Lineage: Eukaryota; Viridiplantae; Streptophyta; Magnoliopsida; Caryophyllales; Amaranthaceae
Exons: 2
Source: RefSeq, a predicted model, not a curated record
GCUUACCAACUCACAUUUAAACAUGCGAUGGGACCAUUGAUGAAAUUGGGGAAGCUGUUGAGGGAUGCCAUUUUUUUAAUUUUCUUUUCUAUUUUUUGACUUGUUAUUUCUUUAUGUAACAAGUCCUAAAUUAGUAGGUGUAAUAUCCGUAUAUUUUAUGAUUUUACAAAUUAUAAAAUUAGAGUUGUGUACUAUAAAAUUUUAUUUUCUUAUCUUAUUUGAUAGAAUUUAUAUCUCUAACCCUACAUUAUUAUUUUAUUUAAAAAAAAAAAGUAAAGCAGCCGAAGCCAGCGUUUUCUUGUUCUUGUGUGCGUCGGAUUCAUCAACCAAACCCAAAAUUAUUUCCUAAGUUUUGUUUCAUUCACCAAUCUCCAUUAGCUUAUUUAUUGAAUCGUAAAGAAAGCCCACAAGAUGUUUGUAUAAUGAAGGCGAGGAAUUGUGACGUCAGUCAAUCUACUUCUUUCUUUCAAUAUAGUAGUUGAUAGUAUUUCGUAGAAAGUCAAGAUUGUUUGAACAGGUUGAUCAAGUGAUCGUAGCUAAAGGAGCUAAAGGAGCUCAAGUGAUCGAUUAGUGUUUUCAUAUCGAGUUUGUAAAGUUGCAUAAAUAGCUGACUUAGAUUUAUUGGGUUGUAACUGUUGAGAUUUUUGUAAGCCUUAACACUUGACAAGUUGUUGAGUGUGGCGGUAAUACCUCCGAUUUAGGUGUAUGCUUCCGCAAU